CAGAAUAUAGCUAAAACAUAGCACUUCCCUUACACUGAAAAGUUGCCCGCGCAAACCGGGCUAUUCUGA
This 69-nucleotide transfer RNA is filed under the name Atlantirivulus haraldsiolii. Its description in RNAcentral is "tRNA-Val". It matches the Rfam family "tRNA". From Rfam's summary of the family: Transfer RNA (tRNA) molecules are approximately 80 nucleotides in length. Their secondary structure includes four short double-helical elements and three loops (D, anti-codon, and T loops). The record is from RNAcentral. Lineage: Eukaryota; Metazoa; Chordata; Actinopteri; Cyprinodontiformes; Rivulidae.